Galeopterus variegatus (Sunda flying lemur) is the source of this 1399-nucleotide long non-coding RNA. RefSeq lists it as uncharacterized. NCBI's taxonomy places the organism in Eukaryota, Metazoa, Chordata, Mammalia, Dermoptera, Cynocephalidae. The transcript is spliced from 2 exons. The record is from RefSeq and is a predicted model, not a curated record.
UAAAGAAAAUGUUUUAUUUAAGGUGUUAAAUACCAUCACCGGAAUGAAUUUGAUUUACAGUAGUUGGUGUUCAUUAUAGGACUAACCUGCCCUUUUUUUUUCCCCCAACUGGAAUUCCCUUUACUUUUAAAACAUACUAUGUACAGGGCAGCAACGGUCACUGGCGUAAUGCUAUUUACAUGAUUAAACCACAAGUCGAGGUGCAGACAUGUGAAAAUUAAAAAAAAUACACCAACUUUUAAAUAAAUACUGCAUAAUGACAAGUAUGUACAAAUAUUCCAUACAGUCAUGUCCUUCUUCUUAAAAUUAGAGAUAAUUUGUAUAGGAAUAUGCACAAAAGAUUAUAUGACUGCCUUUUAGUAUCAGGAAAAUGGUAAAUGAUUAUUCUAAGGGAUAGUAUAGACUCUAUAGGUCUAUUAAAUCAAUUGUUGCUGGUAAACAGGUAUCUAAAUUACUUCAUUAAUGUUUUAUUCGUUCUUUUAACAACUUUACCUGGGUCCAUCACAGAUCUCACAAUCUCAAGACACAGUCUUGGUGUAUUUCAUAUUGCACCACAUAAGGAGAAGGCAUUUUUAGUGAUACUCAUUUUAACUUUUGCACCCUUUCAAGCAUGAUGGUUUUUAAUGGUCAGCACUGAACUUAAAAAAACAAACAAAGAAAAUAAUUUUUGUGUAUGGUCUUAAAUUUAAACACAUGGGAUGUAUGUGGAUUUCAUGAGCUAUUGCAAGAAAUUAAAGUCAAUCUAUAAGAAUGUGUUAUCAAAGUGUACAUAAAAAAACAGAAAGUAUGGGUGCUUUAUUAGAUUAACCAGUGGCUUGUCCUCUAAAUAGGGGAACUUAAGAGAAAUGUGACCUUGCAGCACCACCCAAUGGUAAUAACUGUCCAUAAAAAUCAAAGGCAGGGGUUUUGAUUUUAGAGGAUUUUCACAUAGACUUUUGGUGAUGGCAUCAAAGAACUAUUAAUAGACAUAUCGACUUUCUUUGAGUCACCUAAAAAUUGGAGCUUUAAAAUUGUUGUUGGAAAUUUAUGUUUACUAUAUUUUUUUAGAAAUAUAAUUUGUGAAAAAUUGAAUUUUACUACAGAAAAAUGAAUUAAUAAACAGCCCUGUGUUUCAGGGCUCCAAAUUUUUAGCAGUGUUUGUAUUCACAUAGUAAAUGGAAAUUGGCUGAAGAAAUUGCUUUAACUAAUUAAAAAACAAACAAAACCUAAGACCUUCUACAAAUAAUACUUUAACCCCUGUGUCAAUAAUGCUGGUGCUAAAAACAAAUUUAUUAGACAUUAUAAUGGCCACAUGAUUUUAGGAUUCUCUUGUAAACUGAAUUUUGAAGGUGAAAAAAAUUACCAUGCACUGUACAGUAAAUUGCAAAAGUUCAAAUAUCUUCUUUGUCAAAUACAUGCU